Molecule: ribosomal RNA, 440 nt
Filed under: uncultured bacterium
Lineage: Bacteria
Description: partial 16S ribosomal RNA
Rfam family: Bacterial small subunit ribosomal RNA
Source: RNAcentral
UCUACGGGAGGCAGCAGUGGGGGAUAUUGCACAAUGGGGGAAACCCUGAUGCAGCGACGCCGCGUGUGGGAAGACGGUCCUCUGGAUUGUACACCACUGUCCCCAGGGACGAAGAUGACGGUACCUGGGGAGGAAGCUCCGGCUAACUACGUGCCAGCAGCCGCGGUAAUACGUAGGGAGCGCGCGUUGUCCGGAAUUACUGGGUGUAAAGGGAGCGUAGGCGGGACUGCAAGUUGGGUGUCAAAUCUACCGGCUCAACCGGUAGCCGCACUCAAAACUGCAGUUCUUGAGUGGAGUAGAGGCAGGCGGAAUUCCUAGUGUAGCGGUGAAAUGCGUAGAGAUUAGGAGGAACACCAGUGGCGAAGGCGGCCUGCUGGGCUUUUACUGACGCUGAGGCUCGAAAGUGUGGGGAGCAAACAGGAUUAGAUACCCGUGUAGUC